This is a long non-coding RNA of Nilaparvata lugens (brown planthopper), 6622 nucleotides long. RefSeq lists it as uncharacterized. The transcript is spliced from 3 exons. Lineage: Eukaryota; Metazoa; Arthropoda; Insecta; Hemiptera; Delphacidae. The record is from RefSeq and is a predicted model, not a curated record.
UCAGGUCUCAUUAGAAGUAGCUGAAAUUGUUGGUAGAGCUUUAGCGCCAUCAUCACUUCCUAUCCUGGGCUUACCUCAUGCUGAAAUUAUCAUCUCAGACCAUCUAGGCUUUGAAGAUUCAAGUGAAUCCUGCGAAAUGAUCAUUCCUGAAUCACAAGGAAGCAGGAGGUGAAGAAAUUGCCAAAAUGGAGAUACGUUCUUAUUAGAAGCAGCUGGGGAACCGGCCGUACUGUCCAAUGUUUUUUGGAACAAAACUAUACUGUACCACUUGAAGUGCUCUGAUUCUUUUGAGUUGAUUUUGAAAAUCAGAAAACAACUUAUGAAGUUUGAUCAUCAAUGGAUAUUCCUUUCAUCUCGACUCUUCUACUCGUCAUCUUCCAUCUCCUCUUCAGUGCAGACUCCAAUGGUGAGAUGGAAAACACAAUGAACAAUAAAUAUUCAUAUUUUAGAUAAGACAACAUAAUGCUUAAAAAUAUGUAUUGAUAUAUUUUACAUAUUAUGAUAUGGGUAUUCAAGUAUUCUAUUCAGAAAGUAUCACUCUUCAACUGUUUAUUAGUCUCUUUCAAAUCUUUCAAAAAUGUUGGUCAAACAUAUGUAUUGUCGCUUUAGGUUUCUUCUGCAUAUUUCAAUUUUAUUCUCAUUUUCCUCCUGUGUGUGUAUUGGACAAUCACAGCAACUUAACUCAAAAAUAAGGGACGACUAUAUUGUAAAUGACGAGUCUCUUCGAAUCAUACGUUCAGUUUAGUCUUAUCAAUUACAAUAUGUCAGUCAAAUUCAAUCUUAUCAAUUAUAAUUAAUUAGUUGUUAUUCAAACUUAGAAAUUCUAUAUAUUUCUUUUCAAAAUUUGACUCAAAUACUUCAAUUUUAUCAGUUCAUGCAACUAACGUCAAGGUAUGAUCCUUUCAAUAUCACCUUAAAUUCUAUCAACUAGUCAACAAGAGAAACACAAUAUCCAGGGGCGUAGUCUCAAAACGUACCUAGGGCAAGCUCUUUUGGCAAUUUAAUCUACACCCUCCCAUUCAAAAAAUUAUCUUCGAAUAAUAAUAGUAAAGCCCUCAAUUUCACGAGUCAUUGGCUUUGAAUCUUAAAGGAAUCUAAUAACUUCCCAAAAGUAUUAAUUCUAAACUAAAAUUCUCACCUUGGAUCUAUCUGUACAGUAAGUCAGACCUCAUUCCUCUCUUGAAAAAUGCUUCAAUUACUUCGGAGUAGAAAGAAGUCUCCUUGAUUUUGACUGUGUGGUAGCUCAGUCAAUUCAGGACUAGGUGGAUCUUGAUAAUUGGUUUCUUUUCCUUUUCAGAGCUUAGAAAAUCCUCUUUGGAGAAGCAGUUGAUAAUUAUUUUCUUCGAAAUAAAAUUUCUCUAUGCUUGGCCAAAGCCGGGUUGAUAGAUUUCACAUAUUUUUCACUCUUUAUAUAUUAUUACACAAUGUGGCAAUGUGAAUAAGUAACACUAAUUUGGAUGAUUGUUCAACUCUCAGGGAAAUCUGCGUCAAUGUGACUGGAUUUAUCGAAGACAAACACAAUUGAAACGACAAGAGCUGUUCUUGAAAUAACAAAUUAUUUUAUCAAUGAAUGAAUCUACAACACAAAAUACAUUUCAAUUUAUCACAAGCAUAAAAUGCUAUAAAUCAGUAUGUUCGGCAGCUGAAUUUGGCAGAGAAACAGAAAAAUAAAAGGAACUGAAACUCUAGAGUUUGAAAAACGUUGGCUGGUACACUAGAUACUAGUGAGAUAGCAGGAGUCAGUGGUGUCACUAGCUUGAGACACCAAUGAUGUCCCAGCAGUGUUCGGGCUGGUGGCCCGAGUGAGAUACCAGUGGCCAAAUACCAAAAAUAAUUGGUCUCUUAACCAGUGUAGAGAGCGCAAUAAAAUCUAAUGCCCUGCGACUUGCUUCAAUACUUUGGUUUCCCACUGGUGACCUGUUAUCCUACGGUAAUGCGGACGUAAUUAUUGUAAUAUUAUUUAUUUAUUUACUUAUCAUAUUGUGUACAAAUACUUAACAUGAGGAAAGGCACAACAGGCUCAUGCCCAAAACUGUCUCAUUUCCAAUUUAUACUAUACUGGAAUGCCAGGAAUGCUGAAAUUUAUGUAUUAGAAUGCCAGGUUUUUUACUUGCCAGACAGGUUAGCUGAGACGACUGAGGCGUUGCACCCUCAAGUCUGCUAGCGCUACCUGGUCGUGAGUUCGAAUACCGCCUAACUAUAAGACUCUAUAGGCUCUAAUAUUGACUCUAUAAGCACUAGUUUUAAAACAAUGAAAAGCCUCACUAUGUAACUAUAUCGCUAUGUAAUUAUAUUGUGCAACUGGGCCUUGAAAUACUUUCAGAAUUUUGUCUCAAAGUGUAUCUGUAAUCCACAUGUAAUCCCCACUUGGUAGAUUAUAUAGGGGGCAUCUCAAUUCUGUUGAAAAGUGGAACAGAGGUAAACCAAUUGUCUGUUGUCAGGUUACGAUUAGUUCCAUGGAUUGGCUCUGAUAGUUUCCUAACAUAAUAUGUAGGAAACAUAAUAUGUUUCCCAACAUAACAUAUAUUUCCCAACAUAAUACAGGUUCCUUGUUUUGUGUAUUUACUUCUCCAAUGUAUAGAAUUGCAUUACACAUGUAACUGGUCUUAGAAUCGUUCAACAUUACUGUUUUCAAGCCAUAUCUGUCAGGUUUAGAUUUGAUAUACACUGAAGCCACAGCGACCUCGAAAACCUAGUAGCUGCUCAUCAAUGGUGCAGUAUUCGAAUGGUGUAUAAUAUGAACGACAAUGUUCCACAAAAUUGUCCCACAAAUAUCGUAUUACAGUCAAACGAUCGUUUCUUGCUCUCUCCUGCCUACUGGUUUUGUCAUCAAAGCGCAAGCACGUACUUAUCAAGUGAAAUCGUGGCAAGGACAUGGUAGCUCUAUAAAUCGAGAAUCCUAACUGAGGUGACCAAAGUUCUUCUAAAUUUCUUCUUGAAUCUUUGUGCGUACUAGCCGAGUACAAGAUGCCUAUGUAAGCUUUCAUUUCUUUUAUAGAAGUAUUGCGAUGGUAAGACUGCCUUGAAAUGUUACGCACCUGUCUGUUUAUCUCUUCAUUUGUCCGAAGGGUUAUUUCUUCUAUCAUGAUAUCAUCAAAAAGAAGGUUCCAAGCAUCUUAGGGGGCUCUCACUUCUCGAGCUGCACCUCUUGGACCAGGCAAAUAUGUUUCUAGGUUUCUUUCAGCAACUCUCCCACGUCGUUCUGGCUCCUUUAUGGUCCAAAUAUAGGGUGUCUUUUUAUUUCUUCCCCUAAUCAAAUGAAUAUUUCUUCGAUGUCUCUCAAUUGGAUUGCUGGAUUAUGGAUUUUGUUCAUUUUCGAUAUCAACAGACUCAUCAAUAUCCAGCACAUUGUCACAUUCACUAGGCAAAUUAUCAGGCUCAUUAACAUUAGGUUCACUCACAUUCAGUACAUCACCAGAUUCAUUCAACAUUUCGAUGGCAUCUUGUUCAUCAUUUGAUAUAACAUAAUCCGGAUCCGAAUCCGUGUUAUCACCGAACAUGCUCUCUGGAUCGUCUUCAUCACUUUCUUCUAAGAAAGCACGAAUUAAAUCAGGCCUAUCUCGAAGAUUGUGUGCCAUUGUGUACCAAAAAAAUGAAGAAACUAACAAACAUAAAAACAAUCACCACUUGAAAAAGACACACAUAAACAUAACACUGGGGUUCAGCAGACCCCACAACACUUUAAUAACUCUCUAGACUGGACAGAAGCAGACUGACAUUCGGUGUCAACAGUGCAAGCCGACAGUGCAAGUAGUACCAACUGAAUUUACAUUUGAGUGAAAUAUCCUUAUCUUCGGUUUAUGCAGAGAAAUAACUAAAAAAGAAAGGCUGGGGUCCAGCAGACCACAGUGUUAUAUUUAAAUGUUAACUUGAGUGUGUUGAACUGUCGUCUGCUUUGAACUAGCCGGCCGGUUCAAGUUGUCUGCUGAGAUACAAUCUUAAUCAGCUGUUUGCGCUUAAUCUUAUUGACGUAACCACGUUUGGUGUCUACUGCCUUUGACAAUCCUUAUCGCCUCUUGAGAUAAGCACCCUGCAUUCAUCGUUUCUCAUUUUUUAUCUGCUUCAACAGUAGCCCUAACUCUUUCGCAUCGAGUAUGGUUUUCUGAUUUUCCUUCCUCAAUUCGUAUUUCCCUUCCCAAAUCCUUUUCAACUUUAGGAGCUUCCAAAUUUUCCGCUUGCUUUGACAGCUCUCAUAGCAUUUUCUUCAUGUCUUCUUCCUCAUCAAUUACAAUCAUUUUACAUUCAACAAUAUGAGUAAAAAAGUAACUUUGUGGUAAAUGUAGAAAAAAUGUCAAUAAAUGUAAUAAAGCCGUACUUUGCAGUGGAAACUGCUCGCAGUGGUUCCACUUAAAAAAUGCUCUUCUCUAACUAAUGAUGAGUACGAACUAAUCAGGGUGAAAAAAGGGUGAAAUGGUAUGGUCUUGUAUUGAGUGUAAAGGAGUGGAAACAAAUGCGAAUACUGAUAACAACUGAAAAUCGAACUCAUGCUGUUCUACUUCUGAUGAUGAGCAAAAUGAGGAUUUAAAUGUAGAAUUGAAUAGUAAUACAUUGUAGUGAAUGCUGUUAAUCAGUGUGGAUGCGACAGGCACACUGCCCAAAACCGCACUCCACACAAAAUAAUAAAGAAUAAUAAGAAAACAAAAACAACUUAUACAGAACAAACUUCAGAAUUACAUGCUAAAUCUUAAAAUAAAAUACUAAUUAUUUAUAUCAUUAAAUGCUAUUCGUAUUGUACAAUAUAAAUAAUUUUAAUUAAAAUAAGAAAAUAAGUUUAAUUGAAAUAAGAAUAGAGAGAAUAAGUUCAAUAUAAAUGAAAAAAAGUCGACCAUUUAAAUUUAAACUAAACAAAAUUAAAAAGAAAAAAAAUAAAACAGAGAAGAAGUAAGGUAAAGACAUAUAUUUAUAGAUAGAUAGCAGAAGAAGAGAGGAGAGAGAGUGCUUGAAGUUAAACAUUGACAAAAGAACUAAUAUUCAAGUAUUAUAGAGCAUGAUUUAAUAAAGGCAUUCAAAGACGGAUUGAAGAGAUCGAUAUCACGAGAUACUGUGUUGAAGAGUCUCAUGGAUCGAUUGAUGGGUGAGUUAUAAUCCUGCAACGUUCGAGAUCUUGGUAUAAAAAACGAAAAAUACCUCCCACGAGAAACAGUCGGCACAUAGAAGCCCAAUCUUUCCAGGUGAAAAGGAUGCUGCGUAAGACCAUUAACUACUUUAUAUAAAUGUAAGAUGGCUUGGAGAUUACGUCUGGAUUUCAAUGUUGGAAUUUUGAACAUGAUUCUGAGUUGUGAUGUGGGAUAUGCAAAAUAGGGAUAGUGGCCAAACUUUUUAAAAUACAGGUAGCGAAGGAAUUUAUUUUGAACUUUUUCAAGAGAAUCAGAAUAUUCAGCAUGAUAAGGAUCCCAAAUAAUUGAGGCAUAUUCCAAUCUACUCCUUACCAACGACUUGUACAGAUAUAUUAUAGUAUCUAAAUUACUGAAGUGUUUGCAAGUUCUAAUAACAAAGCCCAACAGUCGAUUAGAAACAUUUAAAAUGUGUUCAAUAUGAGAGAUGAAUCUGAAAUCAUUUUGAAAAUAGACUCCUAAAUCCUUACACGAUAUUUUGAUUGGAAGAGCAGAACCAUUCAUCGUGUAAGAGUAAUUAAAAGGAAGAUUCUGUCUUGAACAUGUCAUUAUGUGUGAUUUAUUAACAUUAAUUUUUAAACCAUUCACAGAGCUCCAUGUGGUAAUCUCAUUAAUAUCCUCUUGUAAUGUAUCACAAUCAUUUACACCGGUAAUAGUUUUAUAUAUCUUAACAUCGGCAAAUAAAAGACAUUUAGAGUUUUUUAAUACAUCAGGUAGAUCGUUGAUCAUGAUGAGGAAUAAAAGAGGACCCAAUGAUGUACCUUGAGGGACACCAGAUACGUUUGCAUAUAGAUCAGAAUCACAACCAUCAUAUGACACAAAUUGUUUCCUGUCCUUCAGAUAAGAUGCUAUAAAUCCUACAGUAGAAUUCGAGAAAUUAUAGGCCAGUAGUUUGUGUAGUAGAACAUCAUGAUUUACAAGGUCAAAAGCCUUUCGGAAAUCAAUGUAUACAACAUCAACCCUCCCAGAAGACUCCAGACCAUGCAAAACAUCACAUGAAAAUUCAAUUAAAUUUGUAGUAGUCGACUUACCAGGUAAAAAGCCGUGUUGCUGUUUAUUGAAACUGUUUAACAUGUGCUUGUAAAUAGAAUCGAAAAUGAUACUUUCAAAAAUCUUUGAAAAAACAUUUGUCAAGCUUAUUGGUCUAAAAUUAGCAAUGUCUUGCAUGUUGCCAGACUUUAAUAUUGGUGAGACCCUAGCGAGCUUCCAUUCAUUCGGGAAAACACCUAGUUUUAGAGAUAAAUUAAAAAUGAAGCAAAGAUUAAAGGACAAAAGAUCGCAGCAUCCCUUCACCAGGAAAGGCGGAAUACCAUCAGGACCAAACGAUGCCCUAGGCUUAAGUAACUUGAUAGCUUUCUCAACAUUUUCGAUGGAAACAGUCCUUAAAUUUAAAAUAUUCUGAUCAGACACAACCGGUGAGUUUAUGGCAGAAGGAACCAUUGAACCAUCAUAUAUACUGAGGCAAAGUGAUUGGCGAAACCAUUCGCAAUAUCCACCCCACUCUCGAA